This 492-nucleotide ribosomal RNA is filed under the name uncultured bacterium. RNAcentral describes it as "partial 16S ribosomal RNA". It matches the Rfam family "Bacterial small subunit ribosomal RNA", at positions 29 to 507 of the family's 1533-position model. The record is from RNAcentral.
AGUGAACGCUGGCGGUAGGCCUAACACAUGCAAGUCGAACGGCAGCACAGUAAGAGCUUGCUCUUACGGGUGGCGAGUGGCGGACGGGUGAGGAAUACAUCGGAAUCUACUUUUUCGUGGGGGAUAACGUAGGGAAACUUACGCUAAUACCGCAUACGUCCUACGGGUGAAAGCAGGGGAUCUUCGGACCUUGCGCGAUUGAAUGAGCCGAUGUCGGAUUAGCUAGUUGGCGGGGUAAAGGCCCACCAAGGCGACGAUCCGUAGCUGGUCUGAGAGGAUGAUCAGCCACACUGGAACUGAGACACGGUCCAGACUCCUACGGGAGGCAGCAGUGGGGAAUAUUGGACAAUGGGCGCAAGCCUGAUCCAGCCAUACCGCGUGGGUGAAGAAGGCCUUCGGGUUGUAAAGCCCUUUUGUUGGGAAAGAAAAGCAGCAGGUUAAUACCCCGCUGUUCUGACGGUACCCAAAGAAUAAGCACCGGCUAACCUCGUG